CAUCAGAUGACUGAAAAGCAAGUAAUGGUCUCUUAAACCAAAAUAUAGUAAAGUAGUGAUUACUUCUAAUGA
This 72-nucleotide transfer RNA is filed under the name Stictochironomus akizukii. RNAcentral's name for it is "tRNA-Lys". Lineage: Eukaryota; Metazoa; Arthropoda; Insecta; Diptera; Chironomidae. The record is from RNAcentral.